Molecule: long non-coding RNA, 13213 nt
Filed under: Medicago truncatula (barrel medic)
Lineage: Eukaryota; Viridiplantae; Streptophyta; Magnoliopsida; Fabales; Fabaceae
Description: long non-coding RNA (MTRU_LNC006210)
Rfam family: MIR2629 microRNA precursor family (bases 3215-3282)
Source: RNAcentral
GUGAGACCCACCUUAAUUUAAACCAAUAAUAAAAUGAGUGUUUAGGAGAGUGUUGCUAGCAUUACUCGUAAUGUAAUAGAUAGACUAAUAUCCUAUAAUAGGAUGAGGAAGUUGUAACAUAGUCAAAAUGACAACAAAACAACUCGUAAAAAUCCUUUUGAAACUCAUGAGUGGCCGGACUAACCAUGGAGGCAUGUACAUUUCACAAAUGCACAAUAUCCUCCUUCCCUUUUCUCUCUUCUUGUGCUCACAUUAUAAAUAUUAUUUCCUCCUUUCGAUAAUACUUGUCCAUUUUGAAGAAUAAUUUUGUUUCACAAUACUUGUCACUUUCAGGUUUCAAUGCAACAUUAAUUAUUGUCUUGUCAAUAAUACCCUUACAUAUUUAUUGUAGAGAAAAAAAUAUAAUGAAAUAAUAAAUUGUUAAGGGUAUCAUAUAAAACACACAUAAUUUCAUCAAAAAUAACAAAAUUUAUUUAAUUUCUUGAUUGUUGCAAUUUCUUCAAAAUGGACAUAUAUUUUGAAAUGGAGGGAGUAAUUUGUAAUGUAAAGUUGUGGAAUCCAACAUACACCAUUCGAUCAUUAUUAUAAGUAAAAAUUGAUAUAUAUAUAUAUAUAUAUAUAUAUAUAUAUAUAUAUAUAUUUUAGAUUCAUUCAUUAAUUGAUGUAUGUGAUCAAUAAUAAAGACCUUAUAUAUCAUUAAUUGAAUUAAUUUAAAAUGUAGAUUUUUACUUAUAAGUUUGAGGAGGGUAUACGUUUGAGAAUUGUUGUUCCCACAUGUGAUAAGGUUGUGCCACACUAGUAAAAUACGAUUUUACCCCCUCGGCAGUUAACUACCGAGGAAUUUGAAUUCCGGCGGUUUGACAUCUUCAUCAACUUCAUUUCCACCUCCAUUCAAUCCCAAAAUCCAAUUUUUUUUUAAUCAAUUCUUGAUCCAAAAUCAUUCAAGCAUCAAGCAUAGGAGGUAUCAAUACACUUUUGACGUAAAAAAACAGGUAUAGUGCAUUUUAUUCGAUUGAUUUUUUUGGGUAUUUUACGGGUAUCUACGUCAGUUACGUAGAACCCUGUCAUGGGAAUCCUCGGCAGUUAACUGCCGAGGAAAACUUCGGUAGUAAAGUGCCGAGGAAAACCUCGGUAGUAAGGUGCCGAGGAACUCUUGUGAAAAAUUUUCACAAGGAAAAAAUGGCAGCUACUGCCAGUUUUUCAAUUUUUUUUUCUUUUAUUUUUUUUGUUUUUUUUUUGUUUUAAUUCAUUAUAGCAUUGUUGUUUAUACAUUAGUUAGUUGUUAAUUCAUAUUUAUGUGUUGUUUAAUUAUAGUAAUGGUAGAGAACGCGAAAGAUGUUCCGGGAGAGACAAAACAAAAUUUUGUCGAAAAUUCCGGAGAUGUCAAACCGCCUAAGGUUGAAGCGAAACCAAACAUUGAUGGAACUUUCGUCCAUGUUGAAGCUUCAAAGUAUGUUGGCGGCUUCGGUGUCCUCCCACUUCAAGCCCACGAGGUCGACACGGCUAGGUUUUUUUCAGACGACGUUAAGUCGAAAGAUAGAGAUGAAUUGCUUGAGUGGGUGCGUCUUCAAGCAAAUAAGUCGGGAUUUACAAUUGUCACACAAAGAUCAAGCUUGAUCAAUCCAAUGUUCCAGCUAGUGUGUGAAAGGAGUGUGAUGAGAUAAAACCGCAAGUGCACGGUCUUAACGAAGUAGUAUAAAAGAGUAUCGUUCCGACAGGGAGUAGUUCAAUUUAAUUAACCUUUAGAGAUGAUUAGAAGAGAGAAGAGAAUUGUAAGUUGGGGGUUUUUAAGCGGUUGAAAANUUGUUUUUCGCGUUGCAUUCUUCUUAUGUCCAUCUAUUUUCUGUUUCGUCUGCUUAUUGGGACCCCUUCAUUGGAGGAGUUCUUCUUAAUUUCCUUUUUAUCUUUCUUAAUUGGGUUGAAUUUCUUGACACCGUUUUCAUUGGGUAUGGCAUAUGAUUUGUUCAUGCGCUUGGGUUUGUUCGCACCUUUUGGUGCAGCAUUGACUGGGGUUAUCAUUUUUUGCCCCAAAAUGUUCUAUUUGGCCGUUGAUAUGCGUUCGAUGGUUUAUGAUUUAUCCCCUCUUCGGAUUCAUUUGUUCUUAUAAGCUUUUACGUGAUUGUCCCACCCUUUUUCUUUUGCAGGUGACCAAUCCGGUGGUAUUGUUGGAUUCAACUUAGGGUUUAUGUAUGAAUGAUUUUUAUAAUUAAUAUUUUUCCCGAUCAUUUUCAUGGACUUUGGUGAAGAACGGUUUGGUACACCUCAUUCUUUUUUUAAUUUUUAUUUGGUUUAUGUUCUUGGGUGCUGAUCCACUGUUUUUUAUUUCUGCAGACUUACCUUUUGUUGAUAUUAUUUGCAUAAUAUCGAAAUUGUGUCUAUGAGUCCUACUUGGAUGGUAGCAAAGUAGCUGUAGGUCUACUUUUCUGGGCUGCCACCACUUCCUCUUUACUAGUAAGUUUCUCUCUUUUCUGAGGAAUACAACUAGAUCAUGUUACAGCUGUGUUCCAUUUGGUUAUUUUUUUAGAGGUUGUAUUUGUUUAUUUAGUUGUUAGCUAUUUGUUUCCCAAUAUGUGCCUUUCCACAUGCGUUAAUAUUUCCUGGUCCGCACUUUGCUUUUGGUUAGACAUGUACUUUCCUCCUUCAUUUAAUGCCUCUGUAUUUAUGAUGCUUUUUUGCCUGCUAUUCCUUUUUACUGAUACGUAGCUGUAAGCCUUGGUUAGCUUAGAUAGCUAUUUACGUUGUACCUUUCAUGUAGGAUACUCUGCUUUAUUCUUUUUAAUUUUUAUUAAUACUAAAUCCUUUGUUUUAAUAGAAUAUAUGAUUUAUGAUGUAUGCAAUUUUGUUUCUCACGUGUUUUGUGAAUUUUAAAGUUUAAUCUUUAUAUUUUUAAAUUAGAUUCAAAUUUCNUCGUUCCAUAUGCAAUUGCGUUGAAUGUAAGUAAGGAUUUAAUUUAAUGAUGUGUAAUGAGUUGUUUAAUUAUGGACACUUUGUAAUGUUUUGAUGAAUUUCAAACGUUUGUUUAAUUUUAACCAAAUUUCGGUUUAAUUUAAUUAUGAACAAUUGUAAAAGAUAUUGUAUUUAUCUUGUUUAUAUCCGAGUUUCAAUCUUGUAUGAAUUAUUUUGUCUUUGGAAAUGCUCUGGUUUAAUUACAGGUAAAAACUGGCCGAAUGAUGGCUUGGAAAUGUUUAGAAUUAUGCAGAACUUGCUGUCUGCAUAAUCAGUUUUCCUCGGUAGUUAACUGCAGCCGAAUUUCAAAUUCCUCGGCAGUUAACUGCCGAGGGGGCAAAAGAGUAAAAUACUCGUGUGGCACAACCUUAUGUAAAGUGUAAACAACAAUUUUUCGUUAUUAAAGUAAAAAAUGAAUGAGUUGCUUUAAAAUAAGGGUGAAUGACACAAGUUACCAAUAGCAUUUCCCUUAAAAAUAUUGUGUCACAAGACUUACAAAAUAACCAUUUAUAUCUAUACUUCUUACAAAGAGAAAUCGCAGAUUUUCGCUGUUCUAUCAACUACCAGCUGAAUCCGCCCUUCUCAGCCAUUCCUGAGUUUCAAUAGGUGCUAUUUCCACCUUUAUUUAAGGCUGUUUGGUCUAUCACUUCCUUUUCAGAGGUCACAGGCCAGCUGGUUGUGGUUAAUUUCAAAUUAACCUAUCGAUUUACUCCCUUUGGUUCAAAGAGGUGAAAAAAAACCACAUUGUGUCAGGUUUUCUGCAUUUCUCUGGUUUUUAAUUUCCUUUUCUGCAUUUCUCUGGUUAAUUUCAUGCUCUGGGUUGUAUCUAGCUCCUUAUUUUAAUUUAAUUUCAAACACAUUGGAUAUAUCCAUGUCUUGAGAUUAUAGAUGGAUAGAUGGAUAGGUCGUUUGAUUCACUGUCUGAGAUUGUUCCCGAUAGAGAUGGUUGGAGGAUUAAGGUUCGCAUUCUUAGACUUUGGGAGGUUCCAACUCUUUUGAGACCAGAUCAGACCAACUCCCUGGAAAUGGUUCUUAUUGAUGAUAAGGUUUGUGGUUUAUUUAUGUUUUUGCUUUCGUUUAUCAUUUCCAGAUUUGUAGAUUUUCAAAACUCAAUAAUUUUAUUUUGGUUGACCUAGGGUGCCAAGAUCCAUGCCAGUGUUAGGAAGCAAUUGUUGUAUGUUUUUCAGCCCAAGUUAAGCGAAGGAAAGGUUUACAAAAUGUCCUUUUUCUCGGUGGCUCCCAGCGUUGGCUCAUAUCGUACCACUCUUCAUCCGUAUAAGUUGGUUUUCCAGAUGAAAACCAAGGUUCAAGUAUCAGAGAGUGUGCUCAUUCCUACCUAUGGAGUUUCACUCAGCAAGAUUGCUGAUGUCUGUGGCCAUGAUGUGGAAUAUGAUUACUUAGUUUGUGGGAAUACUAUGUUUUGCAUCGUCCAUUAGUUUGUUGAUCUCAUUGUUUGUUGUGUUGCUAAUUAUUUAUUAUCUACUGUUUAUAUAUUUUGUCUUACUCUUGACCUUAGAUGUUAUUGGAAUGAUGACUGCCAUAGCCCCUGAAAGAGAGUAUGUUAGGGAUGGUAAGGUUACUAGGAUGGUGGUUCUUGAAUUGACUUAUGAUAGGUAAGCCGUUUUAGCCAUGUAAAUUGGACAUGUCCUCUUUUCAUGAAUUUUUUUUUUUGGGACUUCUGAGUAGUUUUUACAUUGCAGUGGAAAGUGUGAGUGUGCACUCUUUGGUGAUUAUGUUGACAUCCUUAGCAAGUUGAUGUUGAAGGUUGAGAACGGAUUGCUUGUUCUUUUGGUGCAGUUUGCAAAAGUGAAGAUCUUUCGUGGUAUAUCCCUUUAAUUUGUCUAUCUGAGGAAGCUUUUAUGUUCCUUAGUUCUCAAUUUUGCAUUGAACAUGUUCCUGAUCAUUUUAUCAAUGUUGUAGAGAAAGCUUCCCUUCAGAAUGUUAUUAAUACAACCCGCAUAGUGUUGGAUCCUCCAAUUGAAGAGACCUUGCAGAUCAGGUAGUGGUUUUUGUUUUUGUGCAAUCCAUUGUAUGUGUGUUACUAUUUCUUCUCAUUUAUUUUUGUAUCUCUUACAUAUGCUUUUAUGUUUCAGUGUUUUGGUUGUAGGUGUGAGUUUGUCCUCUCUCCCCAAACUUGAAUCACGCACGAGGGCAUCUAUUAAGGAUGAUUUCCUUACUAUGUAUCCUAGGAAGACUUUGUCCCAGCUCAUAGCUUCUCUUGAGGAUGGUUUGUUUAUUGUCUCUACGACUAUUGAUGGAUUGGUUGAUGGCGAGGAUUGGUGGUAUCCUGCCUGUAAAUGACAUAGGAGCGUUACACCUUAUUCUGGUGCCUAUUACUGCAAGGAUUAUGUUAAGCACGUUUUCCAUAUGGUUCCAAGGUGUUUACUCUUUGUUGUUUGGUUUUCCAUUCAUAAUAUCUUCAACGGUUUCUUCUUUGUUAGUGACACUUUCUUUGCAGGUACCAGGUGAAGCUUAAAGUUAGCGAUUCUCAUGCUGAUGCUGUCUUUGUUGUUUUUUACGGUGAUAUGUAGAAUUUUCUUGAUGUUCCUUGCAGUAUCCUGGUUUCUCUUCCCAAGGUUUUGUUAUUUGCUCAUCAAUUCCUAUUUGUGAUGUAAUCUGUAAAUCUGUAAUUUGCAAUAUUGGGAAUAUUUUUAAUUUCUUAUUUGUAAUACCCUUUGUGACUAUAAAUUUCAAAUAUAAAUUUUUCAAAUUUGUUGAUCAUUUUCUUUGAUGUCAUCUGCCAUCUAGGCUGAAAAUGAUGGCUGCUACCCUACUCAGUUUAACAAACUCAAGGGAAGGAAUAUGUUGUUCAUGGUUGAGAAGUGUACUGGUGCGAGUUUUAUGUUUGACGGUUCGUUCAGAGUUAAGAGGGUCUGUGACCAGCCCUCUGUUGUCGAGGCAUUUAAAUCUAUUGGCGUUGAAUGCACUCCUUCUGAGGUUAAAUUAAUUCCCUUUUUGAUGCAAUUGAUGAAAUUGCUUAGCGCUUCGUUUAAUUAGUUUAAUUUGAUUUAUGUUCAGACUGUCUCCGACGCACCCGUAACAGAUAGGAUUGUUGUGAAUCAUGUUUCCGAGUCUCUUGAUGAUUUCGACGCUGAGGAAUUUGUUUCCAACCUUAUUGUAAGCCCGAAUAGUGUGCUUGAUGUAAACCAUGAGGUUGGUUUGUCUAUAUUUUGAAUUAUGCUUUGGUCUCCAUUGUGGAUCUGUGGUAUAUUUUUGAAUUUGUCCAAUGUGUUUUUGGCAGCCCGAAGCCAACGGCCUUAGCGAUGAUGUCUACCACCUAUCAGGAGAGAACGAAGUUACUGGUGCUUUCGAAGGUGUUGGAGAUGGCGAAGGUUCAUCCGUGUCUGCUGUUGUUUUUGAGGUUGCGAGGCCCACUCGCAGAAUCCCUAGGGUUAAGAGAAGCCUUGCUCAAGCCUUUGUCAACGUUGAUUCUGAUGAUGAACCUUUGUCCAGGAAGUAUGGAAAGUCUAAGGUUGCUUGAAGCUUGGGUGUAAUGUUGGUGUGGUCUUGGAGUUUGUUGGUUUGAUAUGUAGAUGUAGAUGUGUCUGUUCUGUUGUAUUGCUAUUGGUUUUCCAUCAUGGAUUGUUUUGUGUGUAAUAAUUUGGAAAACAGUUUAUGGUUGUGUAAUAUGACAAUGAAUUGGUUCAAUGGAUGGUGGUCUAGGAACACUGUCUUCAAGCUAUAUCACUAGGACCAAGUUUCAAUUGUUGAACUUUGUAUGAAUAUUUAUGUUCUAUGUAUUAGUUUAUCUUCUAUAUUAUCAUGCAUUUUCCAAUUCAAUCCAUAUGCUAUGCUUCAUUGUUAUGUUUGAUUUUAAUAUAUUAUGUUUAGUUUGACUUAUUCUCCAAUGUUUUUUGGAGGCUUGGGGAAUUGCAGUGUUUGAAGCUGCAUUAAUGGAAAUAAUCCUAUUUUAUCAUCUAUCUUACUUAGUAAAAAACUUUUGCGUUUCUCCAUGUUGAUUAAUUUAUUUAGCUUAUAACGUGAUUUAUUUCAGUUGUUUCAUUUAAAAUUGAUUAGCUACUUCUUUAGUGUUCUCUAUCUUUAGUUUUGUAUUUUACUUUAUCCUUUGGCCGUAUUGUGCAUUUAAUUGUACAUGGUUAUUUCUAUACAUAAUAUUUUUAAUUUUUUUUGGCUUUAUAAUUGAGGUAUAAUUCUUUCAAGUUAAUAGCAUACAACGGCAAAAUGCCUACAAAUAAUAUGAUAAAACCUAAGUCACCGAAAUACUCAUGCUUCCGGAUCUGCAACGUUGACGUCCAAAUCAUUGCUUGAAUUUGUAAUUGAUUGAUAUAGAUCUUUCAAUAGGAACUGAACAAACACCGCGACAAGACACAAAAUCAAACGCCGCAUAAGACGACGAACAACAAAACGCCGCACUUAGACGACGAAAUCACAAAAAAAAAAACACAAAAGGAAAAACUUCAUAGAUGUGAAAAUCACUUAUUUAGAUUGAAAGAAAAGGGAAAAAAAAUGUUGUGGGGUGAUUCUAGGUCCAAAAAUGAUCUAAAACCACCCCUCCUCGAUGAACGAAGAAGAAAAAAAGUUUAAAGAGAAGUUGGUGUUUCUCUCCCUAGAAAACUUUGGUGCUGAUUUUUAGCAGCGACAUUUUCUUUAUUUAAUGGUUUAAUACAAUCUUGAAUUUAUUGCAUAUUUUUUUUAUCAAAGGCAUGGUUUCUUCUCUAGUAGGAUUGAUCAGAAUAAUAAUUCAACUCUUCAGCGUAUUUCAUUUUCUAUCUUUAAUUUUUGUAGUCACAUGGGCUAUUUUUGGUGGGUAUUAGAUGCUGGGCUUGAGCGUAUGGGCCUUUGAACACUAUGUGUCCUAUUCAUCGUUGUCCAUUUGGUUUUAUUUGACAUUUUCCUUCAUUUGAAGGCAUGUUUUUUCUUUUUGUCGUAUUUGGUGGAGUUUGUUAUGUUGUUCGCUUAACUUCCAAGUGUUUGGUAUCAACUCCUCACAACUUUUGUCCAUACCUAAUCAUCAAGAACUUAAUUAACACUCCUUUGUUUUUCGCGUUGCAUUCUUCUUAUGUCCAUCUAUUUUCUGUUUCGUCUGCUUAUUGGGACCCCUUCAUUGGAGGAGUUCUUCUUAAUUUCCUUUUUAUCUUUCUUAAUUGGGUUGAAUUUCUUGACACCGUUUUCAUUGGGUAUGGCAUAUGAUUUGUUCAUGCGCUUGGGUUUGUUCGCACCUUUUGGUGCAGCAUUGACUGGGGUUAUCAUUUUUUGCCCCAAAAUGUUCUAUUUGGCCGUUGAUAUGCGUUCGAUGGUUUAUGAUUUAUCCCCUCUUCGGAUUCAUUUGUUCUUAUAAGCUUUUACGUGAUUGUCCCACCCUUUUUCUUUUGCAGGUGACCAAUCCGGUGGUAUUGUUGGAUUCAACUUAGGGUUUAUGUAUGAAUGAUUUUUAUAAUUAAUAUUUUUCCCGAUCAUUUUCAUGGACUUUGGUGAAGAACGGUUUGGUACACCUCAUUCUUUUUUUAAUUUUUAUUUGGUUUAUGUUCUUGGGUGCUGAUCCACUGUUUUUUAUUUCUGCAGACUUACCUUUUGUUGAUAUUAUUUGCAUAAUAUCGAAAUUGUGUCUAUGAGUCCUACUUGGAUGGUAGCAAAGUAGCUGUAGGUCUACUUUUCUGGGCUGCCACCACUUCCUCUUUACUAGUAAGUUUCUCUCUUUUCUGAGGAAUACAACUAGAUCAUGUUACAGCUGUGUUCCAUUUGGUUAUUUUUUUAGAGGUUGUAUUUGUUUAUUUAGUUGUUAGCUAUUUGUUUCCCAAUAUGUGCCUUUCCACAUGCGUUAAUAUUUCCUGGUCCGCACUUUGCUUUUGGUUAGACAUGUACUUUCCUCCUUCAUUUAAUGCCUCUGUAUUUAUGAUGCUUUUUUGCCUGCUAUUCCUUUUUACUGAUACGUAGCUGUAAGCCUUGGUUAGCUUAGAUAGCUAUUUACGUUGUACCUUUCAUGUAGGAUACUCUGCUUUAUUCUUUUUAAUUUUUAUUAAUACUAAAUCCUUUGUUUUAAUAGAAUAUAUGAUUUAUGAUGUAUGCAAUUUUGUUUCUCACGUGUUUUGUGAAUUUUAAAGUUUAAUCUUUAUAUUUUUAAAUUAGAUUCAAAUUUCUUCCUUUCCCUCCCCAAUGUUUUUGUCUCUUUUUGUCUAUUUCUCUAUUUAUAGGUGCGUGCCCUGUGUUUUUGUAUGCCACACAUGAAUUCAGCUUUCACUCUACUUUUUUAGUUUUUGAUUUGAUCAUAAAUGUAUAAGUUUUCAGAUAUCGACGGUUUGCAUGAAUUUCUUUGUGGGAAAAGACUCAUGACCUUUGCUGAUUUCGCAACCUCAUCGGAGCGUGGGGUUUUCAUUGUUAUUGGUUGCUACCUUGGUGUCGACGAGGCUGUCGACAUAUGGAAUGAUCAUCAGUCAAAGGAUGAUGAACCGAGGUACAUUUGAUUGCGCAGGUUUAGGAUGCGUGUCAACGUAGGAGACUAUAAGAGUGAUGCCUCCUUCCUUUUGUGCGAUGAUAUGGUUAGGAAAGUUGCUCCUCAGACCUGCAAGUUGUUGGUUGACACGGCUUGUGUUUUCUUUUAUUUGAUGUGUCAUCAUUUAUUGGAUGAAUUAUUAUUUGCUUCUUUUGUUUCAACAGCUUCAUUUUGAUGUUUUUGUUCUUUACGUAGAGUUUGGGUUCUUCUAUGUAUCCUGUCGACCUUGAUUCAAUGUUCGGUGAUCCGCUCAUACUCGAGGUUGGAAGUAAAUCAGAUGAUUAUCUUGAUGGAUCUGUCUGUUACAACGUUCUCCAGGUUUUUACUCAUCCCGAUCUUCUCGAUGUAUUCCUUAACUUUAGUGACUACUUUCCUGUUGCUGAUCCUAAGGUUAUUGUUUUUGUUUUUUCGUAGAUAUUCUCUAGUUAAUACUAUCUAUGUCUUUCUCUAAGUAUCGGAAAAUUGUAUAUUUGUGGUUCAAGAUGGUUUGCAUGCCAGUCUUAUUGUAGUCUCUCCGGUUGACCAUGAUUUUCCGGUGGUCAUCAAUGAUGUUGAGGUUGUUGAUGAUGUUCAUGCCAGGAACAAUGAUUCAGACUGCAAGUUAAUGUCCAAGAAAGGUUAUGGCCGUAAAUGGAAGCGUGGUCAAAGAUCUUAUGAAGUUGUCGGGGACAACUUCUCAAUGCUGAAGAGGGUUGUCAGGGCAAGACGUGGGUAGUUUGUAUGAUUGUUUGUUCUGUUUGAAUAAUCUGUUGUCGUGUUUCUUUGCUGAAUUGUAGUAGUGUUCGAUGGUGUAGGGUUGUAUUGGUUUUGUUGUACCGAACCUUUCUUUUGGCAGCAUUUUCCUAAUGUUCCUUUUGUGUUUGUAGAUCCAUAUGGUUGGAAGUUUACGUAUAUGUAAACACCCUCUUGCUGACCUCCUUUGUCAUCGUGUAUCUUUUAUCAUCAAAGUAAUGUUUUGUUUUAUGUCCCAACCAUUAAAUCUUUUGUAUUCUCAUUUUUCUCUCUCUCUUCAUGUUCUUAUAUUAAACAAAGACUUUGUGUUAUAAUGGAUCCUAAUAUUAGCCUAUGAAUAUAUCAUAGUUUCAAUUUUCGUUUUUGUUAUUGAUAAAAGUAAUUUAUUUAUUUUUAUAACUUUUUCAAGAAACCUUGCAUCAUUUAACUAAGCUAUUCGAUAUCAUUCAUUUAACCUUCACCUCUGUGAUGAAUAUAUUUCAGAAUUAUUUUAUUUCAAUUAAUCAGUCUCAAAUAUCCUUUCGUGUUACAACAUUUAUUUUUAGUUCGUUGUUCUUUAUCACCGUCUAAUGUGUUUUUUUACUCUUCUUUUAAAAUCGUUAUUUUCCUUCCGCUGAGUAAUUACUAGAUAUUGUUAAGUUAUCUCGGUCGUUUCAAUGAGAUAUGUUCAUAAAAUUGUGGCAAAUGUUUUUUAGUCAUGUUAAAAUCUCAGUGUUUAUGAAUUAAUUUAAAAUAAAGGAAUUUAUUUUUUUUUUCUUUGUUUAUUUGCGUUUAGUUUAGUUUGCGUUUUCCGUACAAAACAGGCUAAUGUUAAAGAAAGAAGAAAUAAUAUGCAUUGGUAUAGACUUUAUCAAAAUAUUUAAGGGGAUUUUGUGUGAUGUUAACUUAGUUAAAAUAGUAAUCUUCUAAAUUUCAAUAUUUUCUCCAUCCCUAAGAUGUCAAUGCAAUCAAUCAAAUUCAUUAAUGGGUUUGGUUUUAGAUGUAAUUUUUAUGAGGUCUGAGCUUAUGCACUCAUCACUCAUUGCAGUACACGUUUUUUCCAUAUAUAUAUAUAUAUAUUUCCAAUCAGUCUUAAUUUUUUUUACUACCCAUCUUUCGUUGCUACAGUUGCUGUAAUAAAUGCUCUCACCUACAAAAGGUAUAGAUAUGUAUUGGUUAAUAUUUUAUUUUUACUGUACUUGAUAUAAUUUCCUUUUUGAAUCCGCUUUGCCUCUGCACACAUCUAUCUUUUUCUUUAUAAAUACGGCAUUCCUCAUCUAUUAGAAAGACACCAAGCAACGAAAAGUCUCCUCUAAUAGAGCAAUAUUAUUUAAACAUGGUAUUUAUUCCAACAGUUUCUGUUUAGUAAACUCUUAAUCAUGUUACUGUUUUAGAAAAUUAUCCAGUUAUUAUAGUCACCCUAUUACUAACUUCUCUCAAUACUCUCAUAACAAAUAAAAAUGAUUAUACCGUUUACCUCUUUGGCUGCUUCGAAAAUUGGUAGGAUGGACUGGAGGGUGAGGGUUAGGGUCAUAAGAAUGUGGACUGUUGAGAGUGAGAUUUUUUCUGGGAGGGUCAACUCAAUGGAACUCAUUCUUCUUGAUGUGGAGGUGAGUUUAUUUGAUAUUUACUCAUACUUAAAUAUAUUAGUUCGUCUUUACGUCUGUUCAUAUAUUUAUAUUUAUUUCAAGAUUUUUGCAUCUUUUCUUUGAUACACUAAGCCUUUAUGUUUGAUGUGCAUGGUUUUGAAAAGGUUGAAUGUUUUGUACAUGGAAAUAUUAUGUGGAUCUUAUCAGUGUUGUAUCUGUUUUGUACAGCAACAUCAUCCACGCUACCAUUCCAUCUCACUGUGUUGGACGUUUCAGGUUGUCUUUUAGGGAACUAUCAGUUCAUGUACUCACUGUGUUUCAUGUGACUGAGAGUAUCAACUCUUUCCAAGGUUUUGUUAUUUUGUCAUCCUUUCCUAUUUGUGAUGUAAUCUGUAAAUCUGUAAUUUGCAAUAUUGGGAAUAUUUUUAAUUUCUUAUUUGUAAUACCCUUUGUGACUAUAAAUUUCAAAUAUAAAUUUUUCAAAUUUGUUGAUCAUUUUAUUUGAUGUCAUCUGCCAUCUAGGCUGGAAAUGAUGACUUCUACCCUACUUAGUUUAACAAACUCAAGGGAAGGAAGAUGUUGUUCAAGGUUCAGAAGUGUACUACUGCGAGUUGUAUAUUUGACGGUUCGUUCAGAGUUAAGAGGGUCUGUGACCAGCCCUCUGUUGUCGAGGCAUUUAACUCUAUUGGUGUUGAAUGCACUCCUUCUGAGGUUAAAUUAAUUCCCUUUUUGAUGCAAUUGAUGAAAUUGUUUAGAGCUUCGUUUAAUUAGUUUAAUUUGAUUUAUGUUGAAGCUGUCUCCGACGCACCCGUAACUGAUAGCGUUGUUGUGAAUCAUGUUUCCAAGUCUGUUGAUGAUUCUGAUGAUGAGGAGUUUGUUUCCAACCUUAUUGUAAGCCCAAAUAGCGUGCUUGAUGUGAAUCAUGAGGUUGGUUUGUCUAUGUUUUGAAUUAUGCUUUGGUCUCCGUUGUGGAUCUAUGGUACAUUUUUGAAUUUUAGAAAUUUGUCCAUUGUGUUUUUGGCAGCCUGAAGCCAACGGCCUUAGCGAUGAUGUCUACCACCUAUCAGGCGAGAACGAAGUUGCUGGUGCUUUCGAAGGUGUUGGCGAUGGCAAAGGUUCUUCCGUGUCUGCUGUUGUUUAUGAGGUUGCGAGGCCCACCCGCAGAAUCCCUAGGGUUAAGAGUAGCCUUGCUCAAGCCUUUCUCAACGUUGAUUCUGAUGAUGAACCUUUGUCCUUGAAGCUUGGGUGUAAUGCUGGUGUGGUGUUGGAGUUUGUUUGUUUGAUAUGUAGAUGUGUCUGUUCUGUUGUAUUCAUGUUGGUUUUCCAUCAUGGAUUGUUUUGUGUGUAAUAAUUUGGAAAACAGUUUAUGGUUGUGUAAUAUGACAAUGAAUUAGUUCGAUGGAUGGUGGUCUAGGAACACUGUCUUCAAGCUAUAUCACUAGGACCAAGUUUCAAUUGUUGAACUUUGUAUGAAUAUUUAUGUUCUAUGUAUCAGUUUAUCUUCUAUAUUAUCGUG